UGACACAUGCAAGUCGCACGGGCAGCAAUGUCAGUGGCGGACGGGUGAGUAACGCGUAGGUAUCUAUCCUUGGGUGGGGGACAACUGUGGGAAACUACAGCUAAUACCGCAUGAUAACUGAGGUUUAAAGGCGCAAGUCGCCUGGGGAGGAGCCUGCGUACGAUUAGCUUGUUGGUGGGGUAAAGGCCUACCAAGGCGACGAUCGUUAGCUGGUCUGAGAGGAUGAUCAGCCACAUUGGGACUGAGACACGGCCCAAACUCCUACGGGAGGCAGCAGUGGGGAAUAUUGGACAAUGGGCGAAAGCCUGAUCCAGCAAUGCCGCGUGUGUGAAGAAGGUCUUCGGAUUGUAAAGCACUUUCGACGGGGACGAUGAUGACGGUACCCGUAGAAGAAGCCCCGGCUAACUUCGUGCCAGCAGCCGCGGUAAU
RNAcentral lists this ribosomal RNA (429 nucleotides) under uncultured bacterium. RNAcentral's name for it is "bacterial SSU rRNA". It matches the Rfam family "Bacterial small subunit ribosomal RNA", at positions 49 to 524 of the family's 1533-position model. The record is from RNAcentral.